UACGUAGGGGGCAAGCGUUGUCCGGAAUUACUGGGCGUAAAGCGCGUGUAGGCGGGGCGACAAGUCCGGCGUGAAAGGCUCGGGCUCAACCCGAGACGGCCGUUGGAAACUGUCGUUCUUGAGGGUCGAAGAGGAGAGUGGAAUUCCUGGUGUAGCGGUGAAAUGCGUAGAGAUCAGGAGGAACACCCAUGGCGAAGGCAGCUCUCUGGUCGACCUCUGACGCUGAGACGCGAAAGCGUGGGGAGCGAACGGG
RNAcentral lists this ribosomal RNA (253 nucleotides) under uncultured bacterium. RNAcentral's name for it is "partial 16S ribosomal RNA". It matches the Rfam family "Bacterial small subunit ribosomal RNA", at positions 524 to 776 of the family's 1533-position model. The record is from RNAcentral.